GGCGGUGUAGCUCAGUUGGUCUAGAGCAUACGGUUCAUACCCGUAGUGUCGUAGGUUCAAAUCCUACCACCGCUACCA
This 78-nucleotide transfer RNA is filed under the name Heliobacterium chlorum. RNAcentral's name for it is "tRNA-Met". It matches the Rfam family "tRNA". From Rfam's summary of the family: Transfer RNA (tRNA) molecules are approximately 80 nucleotides in length. Their secondary structure includes four short double-helical elements and three loops (D, anti-codon, and T loops). Lineage: Bacteria; Bacillati; Bacillota; Clostridia; Eubacteriales; Heliobacteriaceae. The record is from RNAcentral. RNAcentral also lists the same sequence under 5 other names.